This is a long non-coding RNA of Sebastes umbrosus (honeycomb rockfish), 272 nucleotides long. RefSeq lists it as uncharacterized. Lineage: Eukaryota; Metazoa; Chordata; Actinopteri; Perciformes; Sebastidae. The transcript has 2 exons. The record is from RefSeq and is a predicted model, not a curated record.
UGAAUGUUUGCUGCCACACUUGCCCUCCAUCAGCACAUGUCAAACAUACCAUGAGGUACAGACGUGUGGUUGGUGAGACAGGUGGAGGACCUGUAGUUGUCCAGUUUGUCCACUGCAUAGAAAAAUAUUACCAUCAGCCUAGGAAGGGGGUCCCCUGUUGUGUGGUCCUUCUCAAGGUUUCUUCCCUUCUUUACCUGUGAAAGGUCAAGGGGGGGGGGAGUUUUUCCUUGAUGGUGGGUUUUGUGUGACUUCUCAAGGGAAUGAUGAAUAGG